GGUUCUAUAGUGUAAUGGUGAGCAAUCUGGACUCAGAGUCCAGCGAUCCAAGUUCAAGUCUCAGUGGGACCC
This 72-nucleotide transfer RNA is filed under the name Loxodonta africana (African savanna elephant). It matches the Rfam family "tRNA". From Rfam's summary of the family: Transfer RNA (tRNA) molecules are approximately 80 nucleotides in length. Their secondary structure includes four short double-helical elements and three loops (D, anti-codon, and T loops). Lineage: Eukaryota; Metazoa; Chordata; Mammalia; Proboscidea; Elephantidae. The record is from Rfam by way of RNAcentral.